Molecule: ribosomal RNA, 463 nt
Filed under: uncultured bacterium
Lineage: Bacteria
Description: partial 16S ribosomal RNA
Rfam family: Bacterial small subunit ribosomal RNA
Source: RNAcentral
GAUGAACGCUGACAGAAUGCUUAACACAUGCAAGUCGAUGGGGAAGUGGUGCUUGCACCAUGGCAACCAUGGCGGACGGGUGAGUAACGCGUAAGGGACUUACCUGCAGGACUGGGAUAACAGGGGGAAACUCCUGACAAGACCGGAUAAUGUCAUGGAGCUGCAUGGCUUUAUGAUGAAAGGAGACGCCUGCGGAGAGCCUUGCGUCCUAUUAGCUAGUUGGUGAGGUAAUGGCUCACCAAGGCGAAGAUAGGUAGCCGGCCUGAGAGGGUGGACGGCCACAAGGGGACUGAGAUACGGCCCUUACUCCUACGGGAGGCAGCAGUGGGGAAUAUUGGACAAGGGGGGCAACCCUGAUCCAGCAAUUCUGUGUGCACGAAGAAGGUUUUCGGAGUGUAAAGUGCUUUCAGCAGGGAAGAAGUAAGUGACGGUACCUGCAGAAGAAGCGACGGCUAAAUACGUG